GUCGGUGUACUCUUAACCGGUAAAGCGGCACCCUUCAGGCCAUCAACACUGUUGGGAUGUUUAUGUGGGUUCGACCCCCACCACCGACC
RNAcentral lists this transfer RNA (89 nucleotides) under Salmonella enterica. Its description in RNAcentral is "tRNA-OTHER". It matches the Rfam family "tRNA". Rfam says of the family: Transfer RNA (tRNA) molecules are approximately 80 nucleotides in length. Their secondary structure includes four short double-helical elements and three loops (D, anti-codon, and T loops). Further hydrogen bonds mediate the characteristic L-shaped molecular structure. tRNAs have two regions of fundamental functional importance: the anti-codon, which is responsible for specific mRNA codon recognition, and the 3' end, to which the tRNAs corresponding amino acid is attached (by aminoacyl-tRNA synthetases). tRNAs cope with the degeneracy of the genetic code in two manners: having more than one tRNA (with a specific anti-codon) for a particular amino acid; and 'wobble' base-pairing, i.e. permitting non-standard base-pairing at the 3rd anti-codon position. The record is from RNAcentral. RNAcentral also lists the same sequence under 7 other names. Lineage: Bacteria; Pseudomonadati; Pseudomonadota; Gammaproteobacteria; Enterobacterales; Enterobacteriaceae.